UGGGAUGUAGCUCAGUAGUAGAGCACUUAUCUAGUAUGUCUGAGGCCCUGGGUUUGAUCCCCAACCUCCCUC
This 72-nucleotide transfer RNA is filed under the name Heterocephalus glaber (naked mole-rat). It matches the Rfam family "tRNA". From Rfam's summary of the family: Transfer RNA (tRNA) molecules are approximately 80 nucleotides in length. Lineage: Eukaryota; Metazoa; Chordata; Mammalia; Rodentia; Bathyergidae. The record is from Rfam by way of RNAcentral.